This 74-nucleotide transfer RNA is filed under the name Polystichum tripteron. RNAcentral's name for it is "tRNA-fMet". It matches the Rfam family "tRNA". Rfam says of the family: Transfer RNA (tRNA) molecules are approximately 80 nucleotides in length. Their secondary structure includes four short double-helical elements and three loops (D, anti-codon, and T loops). The record is from RNAcentral. Lineage: Eukaryota; Viridiplantae; Streptophyta; Polypodiopsida; Polypodiales; Dryopteridaceae.
GCGGGGUAGAGCAGUUUGGUAGCUCGCAAGGCUCAUAACCUUGAGGUCACAGGUUCAAAUCCUGUCCCCGCAAA